GCUGCCUGCAGUUUGUGGUGCAUGUUCUAAAUUUUUAUAUAUUAAAUAUAUGCUCCACGGUUUGUCGUGCUAUGCUAGAUAAGUGGAUGGUUCGAUAUGAUGCCACUAGGUGUCGGGCUAGCUUGUCAUGCUGUUAAUCGCAGCAGCCAUGUCAGGACAAAGUCGGCCUGGCUCAUCUUCUCUCGGGAUGCUGCAAUAGGUAGAGGUGUGACCCACCACAUCCUCUCAUCAACCAUGUCCAAACUCAAACAGGGAUUCAAAAUGAACUUUGGAAACACUGCAAUGACUAAUGUUUGAAGGAGAAAUUGAUCAUCUUGUCCCAAAUGGAUCAGCUGUGCUUCUUCAAAGCGAGAUUUUUGUCAUGGUUGGUCGAAUGAUAGGACAUUCAAUAAUAAAUAAUAAUGACAUUCAAAUUGUCAGCUGUUGUGUUUACUUGAUUUCACUAUAAAAGGUGAAUAUAUGUGUCCAACUAGUGCAAGUUGAUUAUAUUAAUUGUACUCAAGAACAAUAACAUUCAAUUUGAUACAGACUCUGGUUACCUGAUAAGUUUAUGAUUAGUGUCUAUAUGCACAAGGUACUUGGGACAGGGCACAGAAUACGUUCGGCGGACAACACAUCCCAACUGAGUCAUUCUUGACAGAAUUCCCAAGCUGUCCACACGAUGCAUUGAAGCUCUGACUCGGUCCCAUCCAAGAUGAUAUCCUUGUGCUUUUAGUGUCCCUUUCACUAAUCUAUAGCCUGCAUGCGGCCUCCGGUCCUUAAUUCCAAUGAUCAGUUCAUCAAGCUCGGCAUCUGUACAUGAACUGUAAAGUCCGCGGACAGACAAGUUGUUCUCUGCCAUCCUCCUGAACAGUGUGGCAGGAGAUACUCCCCACAGCCUUGAAAUAGUAGGAACCG
Molecule: long non-coding RNA, 897 nt
Organism: Monopterus albus (swamp eel)
Lineage: Eukaryota; Metazoa; Chordata; Actinopteri; Synbranchiformes; Synbranchidae
Exons: 3
Source: RefSeq, a predicted model, not a curated record